Schistocerca cancellata (South American locust) is the source of this 702-nucleotide long non-coding RNA. RefSeq lists it as uncharacterized. The transcript has 2 exons. NCBI's taxonomy places the organism in Eukaryota, Metazoa, Arthropoda, Insecta, Orthoptera, Acrididae. The record is from RefSeq and is a predicted model, not a curated record.
AUAUAUGUCAGUGAAUAUUGCACCAAUAGCUUACCUGAUAUCAUUGGUCACCCACAGAUCAGACUCAACAUCUUUGGUCAUGCCACAACAGUUGUGCCUAUACUAUGAUGUGGCAGCUUCCCAGUUUUGUCAGCUAAGGGACCUAAUCACGUACACUAUUGUAUUGUCUGUGCCACAAACACACAGAAAUAUGAUGCCUACCUGUCCACAUGUACCAGUGAUGUAUCAGAAUGUGAAAUGAAGCUGGAAGUUUAUAGCAGGUAAGUAUCUUGGAUUAGGAAGUAUAUGUAUUUGCAAGAGCUUGUAGAGAAUUGACAGAUAAACCAACGUCACCAUUUUUGAAUGUAUUACAGGUGCUUUAAAAUCACCCACGGUUGAACUUAGUUUCACAGAUGAUAAGAACACAGACUACUUGGACCACGUUUCCAUUCUCUGAUCACAUUGAGGCUGUGGGGACUGUGUGUAGCUUAUCUGAUUUCUGUAACUUUUGAAGACUGCUGUAAAUGUAUUUUAAUAUCUGAUCACUAUUUAAAGAUGUGAUGUUGCUUAGUACAUGAUAGGAAUUUUGUGAAAAGGUCAUUCCAAAGACUUCUAAGAAUCAGCAUGUACUUAUUACAGAACAACUGCAGUUUUAUGUAACAACCAGUAUAAUCAUUGAUAUGUCAGAAUCAGUACUGCAAAAUAAAAAGCAAAUUUCCAUGA